UGGGGAAUCUUGCACAAUGGGGGAAACCCUGAUGCAGCGACGCCGCGUGAGCGAUGAAGCCCUUCGGGGUGUAAAGCUCUUUCGGCAGGAACGAUAAUGACGGUACCUGCAGAAGAAGCUGCGGCUAACUACGUGCCAGCAGCCGCGGUAAUACGUAGGCAGCAAGCGUUGUUCGGAGUUACUGGGCGUAAAGAGUGUGUAGGCGGUUUGCCAAGUUCGGUGUGAAAUCUCCCGGCUUAACUGGGAGGGUGCGCCGAAAACUGGCAGGCUAGAGUGCGGGAGAGGAGAGCGGAAUUCCUGGUGUAGCGGUGAAAUGCGUAGAUAUCAGGAGGAACACCUGCGGUGUAGACGGCUCUCUGGACCGUUUCUGACGCUGAGACACGAAAGCGUGGGUAGCAAACA
RNAcentral lists this ribosomal RNA (402 nucleotides) under uncultured prokaryote. Its description in RNAcentral is "bacterial SSU rRNA". It matches the Rfam family "Bacterial small subunit ribosomal RNA", at positions 355 to 774 of the family's 1533-position model. The record is from RNAcentral.